GGGUCCAUAGCUCAGUCGGUAGAGCAACUGACUUUUAAUCAGUAGGUCGCUGGUUCGAACCCAGCUGGACUCA
Sphingobium sp. Ant17 is the source of this 73-nucleotide non-coding RNA. The record is from Rfam. Lineage: Bacteria; Pseudomonadati; Pseudomonadota; Alphaproteobacteria; Sphingomonadales; Sphingobiaceae.